AUACAGAGAUUAUGUUACUUGGUAUCUUUUGAUAACGUCUUUGAUUAGUUUUCUCAUUUGCUAUCGAAUUGGUCCUGUUACUAAUGACAGAACUAAAAAAAUUAUUCAGUGGUUUUUACAGGCCGCUGGGAUGUUGAUAAUAUACUGCAGCAGUUAUUUUACUGAAGCAUCAAUAUCAUUUUGUAUAUUAAAUUUUUUAAUUUACAAUUUUCCGAUCGUCGUAUACCACAAAAGUAAAAGUUACUGGAAAAAAUUGUUUCCUGAACGACGGAAAUUACUGACUGAGAACGAAUAUCGACUCCAAGCAAUCCGAGAAACUAACAAAGCAUUGGAUGAGUUGAAAGGAUAUUGCUCGAGUCCUGAAUCAAAUCCUUGGAAGACUGUCUUGCGGUUAAAAGAUCCAAUAAGGUAAUUUUUAUUGCCAUCGGAAUUUAAUAAUCUAA
Long non-coding RNA from Cotesia glomerata, 443 nucleotides. RefSeq lists it as uncharacterized. The transcript is spliced from 3 exons. The record is from RefSeq and is a predicted model, not a curated record. Lineage: Eukaryota; Metazoa; Arthropoda; Insecta; Hymenoptera; Braconidae.